Molecule: ribosomal RNA, 433 nt
Filed under: uncultured marine eukaryote
Lineage: Eukaryota
Description: SSU rRNA
Rfam family: Eukaryotic small subunit ribosomal RNA
Source: RNAcentral
AAAAAGCUCGUAGUUGGAUUUCGGUUAAGAGCGACCGGUCCGCCGUUUGGUGUGCACUGGUUGGUUUUAACUUCCUGUAGAGGACGUGCUCUGGGCUUAACGGUCUGGACUCGGAGUCUACGUGGUUACUUUGAAAAAAUUAGAGUGUUCAAAGCGGGCUUACGCUUGAAUAUUUCAGCAUGGAAUAACACUAUAGGACUCCUGUCCUAUUUCGUUGGUCUCGGGACGGGAGUAAUGAUUAAGAGGAACAGUUGGGGGCAUUCGUAUUUCAUUGUCAGAGGUGAAAUUCUUGGAUUUAUGAAAGACGAACUUCUGCGAAAGCAUUUGCCAAGGAUGUUUUCAUUAAUCGAGAACGAAAGUUGGGGGCUCGAAGAUGAUUAAGAUACCAUCCUAGUCUCAACCAUAAACGAUGCCGACUAGGGAUUGGCGGAUG